CCCGGGCCUUGUACACACCGCCCGUCACACCAUGGGAGUUGGUUUUACCUGAAGACGGUGCGCUAACCGCAAGGAGGGCGAUUACCACGGCAGGGUUCGUGACUGGGGUG
RNAcentral lists this ribosomal RNA (110 nucleotides) under uncultured bacterium. RNAcentral describes it as "partial 16S ribosomal RNA". It matches the Rfam family "Bacterial small subunit ribosomal RNA", at positions 1373 to 1482 of the family's 1533-position model. The record is from RNAcentral.